Pecten maximus is the source of this 72-nucleotide non-coding RNA. NCBI's taxonomy places the organism in Eukaryota, Metazoa, Mollusca, Bivalvia, Pectinida, Pectinidae. The record is from the annotation of a RefSeq genome assembly.
GACCAGGUAGCUCAGUUGGUAGAGCAUUCGGCUGGUGUUCGGAAGUCCCGGGUUCGAAUCCCAGUCUGGCCG